Molecule: non-coding RNA, 524 nt
Filed under: Pongo abelii (Sumatran orangutan)
Lineage: Eukaryota; Metazoa; Chordata; Mammalia; Primates; Hominidae
Source: RNAcentral
GGCCACCCGAAGCCUCGUCACGAGUCCUACCGAGGAUUCGGAGCGGGCCUGCAAGAAGGGGCAGGCCAGGCUGGGGCUGCAAGACAGAGUCUUCCCUUGGAGAAGGGACCUGACUCUAUUAUUAAGAGAACGAAACAGGCACUUGCCCUACAGUGUUGUGUGCACAGUGGAUGUGCAGCCAGCAUUGGCUCAUGUGUGAAGGAGCAUACACUCCUGGAAAGUCUGAGCAUGUCCAUACGCAUCAUCUCACUGGGCCCCUGCAGCCCACUGAAAGAAGAGGCAGACACCUGCCCCAACUGCCCAGAGCCCUGCUGGCUGAGCGGAUCCCUAAUGUCCUUGGUUAAGCUCUCACCCUGCAUGACUGUUUUCCUCAGAGGAAGGCACUAGUGGGGACACCUUUUCCUGGGAUCUCUAUGCAGGGAAUGGGCUGGAUGUGUACAGACCUUGCCACAUGCCUUUAAGGGCUGGUGUCAUGGCCAGGCCAUGACUCUAAAGAAUGAGAGGGGCUGGGUGCGGUGGCUCAC